UACGGAGGGUGCAAGCGUUUAUCCGGAUUCACUGGGUUUAAAGGGUGCGUAGGUGGGUCUGUAAGUCAGUGGUGAAAUACUCCAGCUUAACUGGAGGGGUGCCAAUGAUACUGCAGGGCUUGAGUACAGAUGAGGUAGGCGGAAUUGACGGUGUAGCGGUGAAAAUGCGCAGAUAUCGGGAGGAACACCAGUAGCGAAGGCGGCACUCUGGGCCGUGACUGACGCUGAGGAGCGAAAGCGUGGGUAGCAAACAGG
RNAcentral lists this ribosomal RNA (255 nucleotides) under uncultured bacterium. RNAcentral describes it as "partial 16S ribosomal RNA". It matches the Rfam family "Bacterial small subunit ribosomal RNA", at positions 524 to 776 of the family's 1533-position model. The record is from RNAcentral.